This 148-nucleotide small RNA is filed under the name Macaca fascicularis (crab-eating macaque). RNAcentral's name for it is "Metazoan signal recognition particle RNA (ENSMFAG00000055345.1)". Lineage: Eukaryota; Metazoa; Chordata; Mammalia; Primates; Cercopithecidae. The record is from Rfam by way of RNAcentral.
GCUGGGCGUGGUGGUGCAUGCCUGUAGUCCUAGCUACUUGGGAGGCUGAGGCUGGAGAAUCGCUUGAACCCGGGAGGCAGAGGUUGCAGUGAGCUGCGAUUGCACGGCUGCACUCCAGCCUGGGUGACAGAGCGAGAUUCUGUCUCAA